RNAcentral lists this unclassified non-coding RNA (269 nucleotides) under plant metagenome. RNAcentral describes it as "partial contains small subunit ribosomal RNA, internal transcribed spacer 1, and 5.8S ribosomal RNA". The record is from RNAcentral.
UUUCCGUAGGUGAACCUGCGGAAGGAUCAUUAAUGAGUUGUCAUGGGGUUCGAUGCUGGCAGCCAAUUUUUGGAUGCAUGUGCUUGCCCUAACAAUCAUCUUCCAAACACCUGUGCACAUUUUUGAGGGAGUCUUGAGUUGGUUGCCGCUCUUGGAUGAUUUUCUCACAUUCCCUUAAAUCAUUAUACGCUAUUAACAAUGUUGAACGUGCUCUGUGCCGCAAGGCUAUUAAUAUAAUACAACUUUUAACAACGGAUCUCUAGGCUCUC